RNAcentral lists this transfer RNA (65 nucleotides) under Lepidonotopodium sp. YZ-2018. RNAcentral describes it as "tRNA-Tyr". Lineage: Eukaryota; Metazoa; Annelida; Polychaeta; Phyllodocida; Polynoidae. The record is from RNAcentral.
AUAAAGAUGACCGAGUUCAGGUAGAAAACUGUAAAUUUUCCAACGAGAUUUAUUCUCUCUUUAUA